CCGCCAGAGAACUACUAGUGAAAAACUUAAAACUCAAAGGACUUGGCGGUGUCCCAUUUCGGCCUAGAGGAGCCUGUCCUAUAAUCGACACCCCCCGUUCCACCCAACCUCCACUUGCACAUUCAGCCUAUAUACCGCCGUCGACAGUCUACCCCAUGAGGGCCUUUUAGUAGACACAAUAGCAAUAACUCGCUAGUACGUCAGGUCAAGGUGUAGCAAAUGUUGAGGCAGAGAUUGGCUACAUUUUUUGUUUCAAACAAACGAAAUGCAACAUGAAACAUUGCACGAAGGUGAAUUUAGCAGUAAAAU
Molecule: ribosomal RNA, 309 nt
Filed under: Acanthodactylus boskianus (Bosk's fringe-fingered lizard)
Lineage: Eukaryota; Metazoa; Chordata; Lepidosauria; Squamata; Lacertidae
Description: partial 12S ribosomal RNA
Rfam family: Bacterial small subunit ribosomal RNA
Source: RNAcentral